CUUCCAUCUGUUGCAAAACUACCGGUUCCAAAAGAGGGAACAGAGACACCUCUCCCUGGGAGCCUGCGCCCGACAGGGGUCAGCGUGAUGGGUGGACAUGGACCGUCACCGUAGCUUUGAUGUUGAGACUGCCUGGGCAGGAAGAGCUGACCCACAGCCUGUCCCCUACUGAGCAGGACCCUGGCCCCAGCGAAGGCUCUGGCCUGGAAGCCUCCUCAGUGUCACGAGUGGCUUCUCCCAGCUGUCCCCCAGCCAGGAUCCCAGCCCCUUCCACCCUGCUGUCACAGGCUGGGGACCACAGGGCCACUGUGUCUGUUGCUGUCCAGCUAAUAUCAAGCCAUCUGGCGUGCUCCUUAAAUGGCAUUCCGGGGAGCAGCAGGCUGUCACCUCCGAAAACAAGCUUCUGAUGGAUUAUAACCGGCCUCACGCAGAGGGUGCUCCCAGGGUUCUCGCCCAUAUUGCAGAUGAGACUCAGAAGGCACUGUCACUCAGCCCCGUGUGGGGCCUGCCUGCGGACCAGGCCAGAUCCACUCCUCUCUAUCGCCUGGAAGCGACUGCAGCCUGCGUCACCACCUCCCGCGCUCCCUUCUGAGCGCAGGCUGAGCAGCUCGUAAAGCUCAGGAAGACACCUGCUUGUCACCCGCUCUCAGGCCAUCAGGGCUCGAUGCCCUGGGCCAGGAGGAGCUGUGUCUGCUGUGCUCUGGAGGAGGUGGCAGUCCCUGUUUUGCUCGGGGACCCCCGUGAUUCAGACAGGGCUGGCGGGCUGCGGGUAGCCCAGGGUUGGGCGCAUGGUGCUGGAGGUGGGUGAGAGGCUCCUCCCACAGGGCUGGGACACCAGAGACAGGGGCCCCCAGGUCCAGAAGACCACAGGAGGGUGCAGAGAGGCAGUAUGGAGGGCUGUGGCAGGGACCCCGGGGACUGGGUGGAGCUGCCCCAGGACGCAGGCCGGGGCUCCUUGGUCGCCUGACGACAGGCCUGUGGAACGAGGGCGCGGCGAUCAGGGCCAGGAGGCAGGCUCAGCGCAGCGGCUGCAGGAGGCCCUCUGUGGACCAGGCCAGCUCCUCCUCACCAAUCCCAGGGCCAGAGGAUAAAGGGAGCCGGGGACACCCAGAAGACCCACAGGACCAGCAGAGCCCCAGGGUGGCAAUGCCGUGCGUCCGCCACCCCCCAGGACGAAGGGCUCAGGCAGCCAUCCAGGAGGAGGAGGGGACUGUGAGCACCCACCGCAGGGCAGCCAGAGGGGCCACUGGCUUUCUCUAGCUCACCCUUGGGCAGGGCCCAGGGACGGGUCUCAGGGCAAAUGGGGCUCUGGUCCCGGCCCUCAGAGCAAGGGGCCUCCUCAGAGGGGCUGCCUCCACUGCAACGGUCCCCCUCAUGCAGCCUGGCAAGAGCCGUGAGAGGAGACAGGCCCAACAGGAGGGCUUCCUGGAGGAGGUGACGUCUGAGCUGACCCGGGAGGGAGGAGCAGGGUGUGGGAGUGGUGUGGCCAGAAGGGACACCAGGGGACAGCAGCAGUCCCUGGAAGCAUGUCCUUCUCUUUCUGCAUCCCUGGGUCAGUUGGGGUGGGGGUGGCCCACCAGCCCCAGGCCGCGGGUGUCCCAGCAGGGCCAGCUCUUCUCCUGACAGUGACGCAGCACAGCCUUUGCACAGUCACCACUGCAAAAUCCUGUUGGCCAACGGGAGUCACGAGCCAAGUGCACGCUGGGGACCAGGACAGAGGCUCUUCCACCACGAGGUCCCAGGUGAGGGGUGGAAACGUGAUGUCCUGCCAUGGAGGGCGGGGCUACGGCCAGGAGUGGGGCCAGGGCUGCCUCGUCCUCUCCCCAGUGACUCAGGGAAGCACCCACCAGCUCCACCGUGGGUUCAGGGGGUCCCACGAGGGUGGUGCUGGGCGUGGAGUCAUGGGCAGUCUUCACCCCUCACUCUACAGCCUGCUUCCCGGGGCGUGCCAGGCAUCAGAGCAGACCCGGCCACGGCACCAGGAACAGCCGCAGGAGGAGGCGCAGCCCCAGCCAAGAGGCCACAGAAGGACCAGGCCUGACUCCCCAGGGACCACAGGAGGGUCAGGAUGCCCUGGCCAGGUCUGCAGGAGCCCAGCCAGGCCGAGCACACACGGGCUCAGCCACCUCCUUCCUGCCUGCCCCCAGGCCCAGCCCCAGCAGCCCCGCCAGCAAGCCUCGUUCCAGUAAUCCACACGAUGAUGCCACAUAAAAAGAUUGCUUUCCCGGAAAACUGCUGACACUCGGGUCUGGGAAAGAGAGGGCUUACGAGAGAUGGGCUCCCAAUCCAUACAGGGCUCGACGCUCAGACCUUAAUCAAUCUGCAUCCCUCGGAGCUAAAACAGUUGUGAUUUAUGAAAUCCACAAGUCAGAUCUCUCUGUCCCCCCUGUAUUACCAACAGCAAAGAGGAGCUCUCUCCUGACAGCACCCCCCCCCGCCACUUUGAGACCCUCCUAGGGACAUGCGUGGGGUCCCAGCCCUCACACACUGGCCACAAAUGGGACACAGGCAAAGAAGCACCUGCUUCUCCCGAGGGCCCAGGACUCAGGAGCUUCUAGCUCAAAGCAAAGGGCAGGACAGGCAGCUGGUCAGUCUCUCCCUGGCCUGCGGACUUACUUUUCUGCCCCUGCUGCUUGUGUCCUGGGGUUCACUUCAACUAACUUCUCCUGAAUCCUCUUGCAAACCUGUGGGCACCUGGACUUCCUGGCAAACCUGGGGGCCAGGGAGGACAGCCCGACAGGUGGGAGAACAAACACUCAAAACCGGGCAGAGGGUAGAUUCUAUGUCCCGUGUGCCUUAUGACAAUAAAACCAAAUCAAUGUUUUAACAACAAAAACCCAACCAAGACCCCCUCUGCCAGCUGUGUGUGGGG
RNAcentral lists this long non-coding RNA (2872 nucleotides) under Marmota monax (woodchuck). The record is from RNAcentral. Lineage: Eukaryota; Metazoa; Chordata; Mammalia; Rodentia; Sciuridae.